Oncorhynchus tshawytscha (Chinook salmon) is the source of this 369-nucleotide long non-coding RNA. The record is from Ensembl. NCBI's taxonomy places the organism in Eukaryota, Metazoa, Chordata, Actinopteri, Salmoniformes, Salmonidae.
GUGGUCGUUCAGUUAAAGGUGGUCGUUCAGUUAAAGGUGGUCGUUCAGUUAAAGGUGGUCGUUCAGUUAAAGGUGGUCGUUCAGUUAAAGGUGGUCAUUCAGCUGUCAUUCAGUUAAAGGUGGUCGUUCAGGCUGUCGUUCAGUUAAAGGUGGUCGUUCAGCUGUCAUUCAGUUAAAGGUGGUCAUUCAGUUAAAGGUGGUCAUUCAGCUGUCGUUCAGUUAAAGGUGGUCAUUCAGUUAAAGGUGGUCGUUCAGCUGUCAAUUAUUCACACAAAAUGCAACAAAUACCAGAGGUGUAAUAUAUAUAUAUAUAUAUGUUUAACGCCACUGGGGUUGUCCCCAAACCCUAUGUGAAGAGAAGGUCGUCCC